This is a long non-coding RNA of Triticum dicoccoides, 2530 nucleotides long. RefSeq lists it as uncharacterized. The record is from RefSeq and is a predicted model, not a curated record. Lineage: Eukaryota; Viridiplantae; Streptophyta; Magnoliopsida; Poales; Poaceae. The transcript is spliced from 12 exons.
ACAGGCUUCAUCCCGAACGCCAGCAUCAAUCCUAUCUUCUUCUCCCCUUGCUCCACCGCUCAGAGCACACUGCUCUGUCUCCGCCACGCAAUACAGAGAGGAGUGGCCUUCGCCGGCGACGAGGCUCCUCCCUGACCAGAUCCCGCCACAGUCGCGGCGGCAGGGGUCGAGGACGACGACCACGAGGGAUCCGCGGAGGGGGCCAGGGAUUUGGCGUUCGCUACAGCCGAGCACCAGGUACUGCCACGCUACGACUCAGCUCCUCGCCGACCGGAGCGAGGUGCCGUCGCGGUCCGAUGCCGAGCGCCGCCGCGAGCACCAGGCCGCCGCGCUCGGGGCGACGCUGCCCGCACCAUCCCUGCGAUGCGCCCACCUCCAACCCGGCGGCGAUGGCGAUGUCCGCGAGGCCCUGGGCGCGAGGGAGGCGAUGGCGAUCAGCUGAAGCGGCGGCGCCGUCAUCCUACACCGGGAGGCGGGGCCUGGUGGCGCACGAGGCUGCGGGACGCGGAAGGGGGAGAAGCAAUGGAGGUACUGUUCGAGGAGGCGGGGCGCGGAGGGAGAGAGCAGUGGAGGUGCUGACGCUGACGCCGCGGCGCUUCAUGGAGGUCUAGGAGGUGGACGAGGCCUUGCAGCUCGCAGCCGACCUGCUCGCCGAUGCGCCAAUAGGGAUCUGCUCGCCGGCGGGGACGCCGUUUUCUUCUAGUGAUGUGCGGAUGGUGAACUGCUCGCCGGGAUUCACCCCGAGCCCAGGGAGUGGGAGUAUCGGGGAUAGGAUAUGUGCAUCGAGCAGAGGGGGCCGGUGUUCACUUCAGGUUUCUUGCCUCAGUCAGAUCAAUUCUGGAGUCCUUGAUCUCCUCGUCCUUCAUCAACAGCUUUACGUGGGAAGACCAAACGACGGCGUCUUCACGGGCGAUUGGAUCUGAGCUCUCGUCUCGGUUCAUCUCUGCUGCCGGCGUCAUGACGGCGUCAACAGAGUGAACCACAUCAGGUGCACAGCAUCAGGGCACAAUGAUGAAUUUUACGGAGGAUGCUCCUGUAAAGAAAGGCUCUGUUCUCUUAACAAGGAUGGAAAGUAUAACGGCAUACAAAAACCAACAUGGACAACCCAAAUCUGGAACUCCAGAACAAUCUGACAUUCCAGUGGCUGCUAAUGACAUGCGUUCCCUUGCUGAAUGGCCAUCCUAUGCUCGCCGCAACCGUGCGUGACUACAGGAUGAAGCUGGUGGACAGAAGAAGAAAGGCUAAAAGGUUUUAAAGCAUCUAAGAAGCGUUUUGCCAAUGGAUCUGCAAAGCUAAAUAUUACAUUCUCUGAAAAAUUGGGUGGUACAGUAGGAAUGAACUAUCGUUCGUUCAAGGAUGACGUGGUAGUCAUAAUGAAAAGAAAGUUACCACUCAUUGGAUUGAGGACGUGGUCGGACAUUCACCCUACCAUUCAUCGACUCAUUGUUGCAGAUAUAAUAGUAGGACAGAUGGGACCUGGAAGAUACACCAGAAACAGAAGAAAAAGUUCUCAAAAUUGUGAAAGAGAGAUAUAGAGGCUGGCGAUCAACUCUAAGCUCCACUUACAAGGCAUACAAAACAGAUGCAUUGGCUAAUCUGCCUGAAGAUUUACAACCAGAAGAGUGGGAAUGGAUGAUUGAGUACUUUGGCACUGAUUCAAAAUUUCAGGAAUGCAGCCAAAAGAACGCUGAUAACCGUAAGAAACAGAAGACAAAACAUAUAAUCGGAUCAAAAUCUUACUCGCAAGUUAGUUUUGAGAAGAGAAACUUAGAAACUGGAGAAGAGCCAGAUUGUAUUGCUCUAUGGGAACUCACCCACACAAACAAUGGAACAUGGUCUAACACAGAUUCCCAGAAAGUUUACGACCAAGCACUUGAAGAGGUUAAAAACAAAGAAGCUGAAACUGAAGGUCCACUUUCAAGUGAGCAGAAAAACAAUGUUUUCUAGACCGCUUACAAAGACACUCUGGAAUGCAAGUCAUCGCAGCCUCGUGGGUACGGAUACAUGGCCAAAACUUCAACUGGUUCUGAAAAGUUCCGUAUCCAGAUUGAAGAGCAAGCUCGUGCUACAGCAGCCACCCAGGAGCGAAACUCUCAGCUCAGCCAGCAGGUUAAUGACUUAGAAGAUCAACUACAAGCUGAAUGUGCUAACACACAAGAGAGGAUUAACUUGGAGCGUGCUGAGAGAGAACAACUUGAGGAGAGGUUAAAAGAAGAGCGUGCUGAAAUGGAAAGAUUGUUGCAAGAGGAGCGAACAUCAAGACUGGAAUUUGAAAAAAAACAUGAUGGCAAAGUUUAUAGAAUUGAGCAAACAGAUGGAAACCCAACAGGUUCCUACGAAGAGGGUUGACAAAGAAAAUAGUAAUCCAAACUUGCAAAAUAUUCUUUCACAGACAUCUAGUCCUAAUAAGACUCCAGGUUCAAGGCCGACUGCUAUUUCUUCAAAUGCGCUCAUACAAGCUGCAGCAAGGCAAUCUCGAAUGUAUAAAGCAAUGGAUCCAAAGAACUAGCUGGACUGGACUCUAGAUCAC